GGGAAGGGAACCGCUUAUAAAAAAAAAAAAAAAAAGCCUUUGGGAGUUUGUAGCCCCGGCUUUUGUGAAUUGUCCCUCCCACUACCCCAUCCCCGGGAGCCCCCUUCAGAGUGAGUUAAACACCCCUCCCCCUCUGUGUAAUGAACGCCCUUUGCCACCCUGUGAGCGGAGGAGGCUGAUCUUGCUUCUGGCAACCCGCCUGCUCAGCGCUAGAAUUGGGCCUGUCCUUCACUGGCGGGUGCACAAAGGCCCGUGCCAGGCAGGAACCUCAGCCCCUGCUUUUCCAGUUCAUGAAAACUGAAAACUCCCGGAUGCUGCGGACUCUCCUUGUCAGGUCUGCACAAGUGGUGCCUUGAUAAUGAACCUUUCUCAUGGGGCUAAGCCUCACAGAGGCAAGAGCUGACAGUGCAAAGGGCAGGGCUAUUUGUGAGCCCUCCUGUUGAAGCUGCCCACUUCCGGAAGAGCCAAGUUCAUCUCCACACAGUGUUUUCUCCAUCCUUGGACACCACUAGCUGGGGAUGUCCCACAGAUCUACCAUAGAGUUCUCAGACCAAGCAAAUAAAAAUCUAGGGUUCUCAGUUCAAUUUGCAUAGCUUAUGCAUGUAAAUACAUGCAAAUGAACACAUGUUUUUAAGGGUUUAUUUCUUUUCAUGUGUGUGGGUGUUUUGCCUGCAUUUGUGUAUGUAUACCACCUUUGUGCCUGGUGCCUGCAGAAGUCAGAAGAGGGUAUCAGAACUGAAGUUACAGACAGUUGCAAGCUGCCAUGUGGGUGCUGGGAUCCAAACCUGGUCCUCUAGAAGAGCAGUCAGUGCUUGUAACUGCUGAGCAUCCGUGUGUGUGUGUGUGUGUGUGUGUGUGUGUGUGUGUGUGUGUGUGUCUGUGUGUCUGUGUGUCUGUGUGUCUGUGUGUCUGUGUGUAAUGUGGUGUAUAUAUAUAAGCAUUUAUAGAUGUGUGUGUAUAUAUGGGGGUUCAUGUGUCUUGUAACUCAGGCUGGCUCCAACUGGUUAGCAGAGGAUGAGGGUGGCCCUGAGAUUUUGUUCCUUCUCUUUCUACCCCCGAAUGCUGAGAUCACAGUCACGUCCAUCAUGCUUGGUUUCAGGCAGCGCUGGAAACCAAACCCAGGGCUUCUUACAUGCUGGGCAAGCGCUCUACCAACUGAGCUACAUGCCAGCACUAUGAUGCCUACUAUUUAGCAUAUAUAUGUUCCAUGAGAUAUGAGACUCCUUCUAAAGCAAAGUGUUGCGUUAUGUUAGGCGACCAUGGGAUUUAACUGAGUCCCCAGCACCCUCGAUUUGGUCUGGAAACUGUUUCAGUCCUGAAUAGUCACUGUGUCAGCCCCUCCCCACAGGGACCUGAAAACCAACCAGUCCUGUAAGGCGGUUAUGACAAUGACUUUGAAUGUGUAGUCAACUGCCAUGGAAAGGUUGCUGGGUGACGUGGGGCCCUCACCUGUGCUUGGGCUGGGAAUGAGGUGGGAAUUCUCUGAGCUUGUGACACAUUGGAAGAACUGACACUUGGUAUUUGUCAGCAAGCGUCUAGGACAUUGAAGAAGACAGAUGCACUUGCUGUGCCAUUACUCAAAACACUUUCCCUUCCCAUGCCUUUUUUCCUUCUGGUCAUCUUGAAGGCUGAACCAUGCAGGGAUAGGAUAGAGUAUCUCAGGAGGCAGCCUUGAGCAUUUUGGAAUACCCCUACCCUAUGCCAACACUCAGAUCACUUUUUUUCUCAGGG
Molecule: long non-coding RNA, 1731 nt
Filed under: Cricetulus griseus (Chinese hamster)
Lineage: Eukaryota; Metazoa; Chordata; Mammalia; Rodentia; Cricetidae
Description: lncRNA (ENSCGRG00015042798.1)
Source: RNAcentral